GGGGAUAUAGCUCAGUGGUAGAGCAUGUGCUUAGCAUGCCCUGGGUUUGAUCUCCAGCGUCCCCC
RNAcentral lists this transfer RNA (65 nucleotides) under Heterocephalus glaber (naked mole-rat). It matches the Rfam family "tRNA". From Rfam's summary of the family: Transfer RNA (tRNA) molecules are approximately 80 nucleotides in length. Their secondary structure includes four short double-helical elements and three loops (D, anti-codon, and T loops). The record is from Rfam by way of RNAcentral. Lineage: Eukaryota; Metazoa; Chordata; Mammalia; Rodentia; Bathyergidae.